GAUGAAGAACGCAGCGAAAUGCGAUAAGUAAUGUGAAUUGCAGAAUUCAGUGAAUCAUCGUAUCUUUGAACGCACCUUGCGCCCUUUGGCUAUUCCGAAGGGCAUGCCUGUUUGAGUAUCAUGAACACCUCAACUCUCAUGGCUUGCCAUGAUGAGCUUGGACUUUUGGGGGUCUUGCUGGCCUGUGGUCAGCUCCUCUCAAAUGAAUCAGCCUGCCAGUGUUUGGUGGCAUCACAGGUGUGAUAACUAUCUACGCUUGUGGUUUUCCACCAGGUAACCUUCAGUGAUGAAGGUUCGCUGGGGCUCAUAAACGUCUCUCCUCAGUGAGGACAGCUCUUUGAACGUUUGAUCUCAAAUCAGGUAGGACUACCCGCUGAACUUAAGCAUAUCAAUAAGCGGAGGA
This 403-nucleotide unclassified non-coding RNA is filed under the name soil metagenome. Its description in RNAcentral is "partial contains 5.8S ribosomal RNA, internal transcribed spacer 2, and large subunit ribosomal RNA". The stretch from base 1 to 121 matches the Rfam family "5.8S ribosomal RNA", at positions 35 to 154 of the family's 154-position model. The record is from RNAcentral.